AUGCCUCUGAUGCGAGCACUGCUGCUCUCCCAUUUCAGAUCGCCAAGCUCGGCUUCGGCCUCGGGCACGUGGGCCUCAAUGGCCACCCCUUUGACGUCCACCUCCACUGAGGGCAGCUCCACACUCAGGUCGCCAGCCUUGACCUCGCCCUUUACGGAGGGAAGGGCCACGUCCACGUCGGCCUUGGGCAGGCUCACGUCCACAGAGGCUGACCCUUCCUUGCUGGGAACAGAAACGCCAAAGGAUGGCAUCUUAAAUUUGGGCAUCUUGAACUUGCUGUCCUUGCCCUCCGCGUCCUUGUCACCCAGCUUGAUGUCCCCUUCCAGCUUGACGCCCUCCACCUCCAGGUCGGGGCUCUUGAUGUCGACCUUGCCCUUGGGCAGGGACACGUCCACACUGGGCAUGGUGAGGUCCACUUUGGGGCCUUUGAUGUCUGCUUUGGGCAAUUGGGGCAUUUUGAUGCUGGGCAUGUGGACCUUGGGCAAAUGGCCUUUGAUGCCGGCACUGCCUGCCUUCCCUUUCAGGUCGCCAAGCUCGGCUUCGGCCUCGGGCACGUGGGCCUCAAUGGCCACCCCUUUGACGUCCACCUCCACUGAGGGCAGCUCCACACUCAGGUCGCCAGCCUUGACCUCGCCCUUUACGGAGGGAAGGGCCACGUCCACGUCGGCCUUGGGCAGGCUCACGUCCACAGAGGCUGACCCUUCCUUGCUGGGAACAGAAACGCCAAAGGAUGGCAUCUUAAAUUUGGGCAUCUUGAACUUGCUGUCCUUGCCCUCCGCGUCCUUGUCACCCAGCUUGAUGUCCCCUUCCAGCUUGACGCCCUCCACCUCCAGGUCGGGGCUCUUGAUGUCGACCUUGCCCUUGGGCAGGGACACGUCCACACUGGGCAUGGUGAGGUCCACUUUGGGGCCUUUGAUGUCUGCUUUGGGCAAUUGGGGCAUUUUGAUGCUGGGCAUGUGGACCUUGGGCAAAUGGCCUUUGAUGCCGGCACUGCCUGCCUUCCCUUUCAGGUCGCCAAGCUCGGCUUCGGCCUCGGGCACGUGGGCCUCAAUGGCCACCCCUUUGACGUCCACCUCCACUGAGGGCAGCUCCACACUCAGGUCGCCAGCCUUGACCUCGCCCUUUACGGAGGGAAGGGCCACGUCCACGUCGGCCUUGGGCAGGCUCACGUCCACAGAGGCUGACCCUUCCUUGCUGGGAACAGAAACGCCAAAGGAUGGCAUCUUAAAUUUGGGCAUCUUGAACUUGCUGUCCUUGCCCUCCGCGUCCUUGUCACCCAGCUUGAUGUCCCCUUCCAGCUUGACGCCCUCCACCUCCAGGUCGGGGCUCUUGAUGUCGACCUUGCCCUUGGGCAGGGACACGUCCACACUGGGCAUGGUGACGUCCACUUUGGGGCCUUUGAUGUCUGCUUUGGGCAAUUGGGGCAUUUUGAUGCUGGGCAUGUGGACCUUGGGCAAAUGGCCUUUGAUGCCGGCACUGCCUGCCUUCCCUUUCAGGUCGCCAAGCUCGGCUUCGGCCUCGGGCACGUGGGCCUCAAUGGCCACCCCUUUGACGUCCACCUCCACUGAGGGCAGCUCCACACUCAGGUCGCCAGCCUUGACCUCGCCCUUUACGGAGGGAAGGGCCACGUCCACGUCGGCCUUGGGCAGGCUCACGUCCACAGAGGCUGACCCUUCCUUGCUGGGAACAGAAACGCCAAAGGAUGGCAUCUUAAAUUUGGGCAUCUUGAACUUGCUGUCCUUGCCCCUCCGCGUCCUUGUCACCCAGCUUGAUGUCCCCUUCCAGCUUGACGCCCUCCACCUCCAGGUCGGGGCUCUUGAUGUCGACCUUGCCCUUGGGCAGGGACACGUCCACACUGGGCAUGGUGACGUCCACUUUGGGGCCUUUGAUGUCUGCUUUGGGCAAUUGGGGCAUUUUGAUGCUGGGCAUGUGGACCUUGGGCAAAUGGCCUUUGAUGCCGGCACUGCCUGCCUUCCCUUUCAGGUCGCCAAGCUCGGCUUCGGCCUCGGGCACGUGGGCCUCAAUGGCCACCCCUUUGACGUCCACCUCCACUGA
Molecule: long non-coding RNA, 2055 nt
Filed under: Monodelphis domestica (gray short-tailed opossum)
Lineage: Eukaryota; Metazoa; Chordata; Mammalia; Didelphimorphia; Didelphidae
Description: lncRNA (ENSMODG00000042428.1)
Source: RNAcentral